GACGAACGCUGGCGGCGUGCUUAACACAUGCAAGUCGAACGGAAAGGCCCUGCUUUUGUGGGGUGUUCGAGUGGCGAACGGGUGAGUAACACGUGAGUCACCUGCCCUUGACUUUGGGAUAACUUCAGGCAACUGCUGCUAAUACCGGCUCGGUGCUCCUGCUGCAUGGUGGGUGUUGGAAAGUUUCGGCGGUUGGGGAUGGACGUGCGGCUUAUCAGCUUGUUGGUGGGGUAGUGGCUUAACAAGGCUUUGACGGGUAGCCGGACUGGGAGGGUGACCGGCUACAGUGGGACUGAGGUGCGGCCAGGAGUCAAACGGGGGGCAUGAGUGGGAGAUAGUGCACGAUGGGCGGAGGGUGGAUGCAACACCGCCGCGUGGGGGAGGACGGCCAUCGGGGUGUAGGCCGCUUUCGCCUGUGACGAAGCGUGAGUGACGGUAAUGGGUAAAGAAGCACCGGCUAACUACGUG
RNAcentral lists this ribosomal RNA (468 nucleotides) under uncultured bacterium. RNAcentral describes it as "partial 16S ribosomal RNA". It matches the Rfam family "Bacterial small subunit ribosomal RNA", at positions 28 to 507 of the family's 1533-position model. The record is from RNAcentral.